UGGGUUGGGGGGCAGUCUGCCCAUAAAUAGAUUUACAGUCUACCGCCUUAUUCAGCCACCAAACC
This 65-nucleotide transfer RNA is filed under the name Chamaeleo gracilis. RNAcentral describes it as "tRNA-Tyr". The record is from RNAcentral. Lineage: Eukaryota; Metazoa; Chordata; Lepidosauria; Squamata; Chamaeleonidae.